UUCCACCACAACAAACACUGGAUAAGUUCCAGCUCCCGCACCUCACUUCCGCUGCUGCUCCUCUGCUGACGUGCGUGGCCCGCCUUCGUGCGUCUGCGCAUUUAGGACCAAGUGCUGUGAAAUGGUCUGAAGGUGUGAGCUUUAGUAAGGCUUCAGCUUUAUGUGAAGAAAAAUGAAAAAAUGUGCCAGCCUGCUCCAGGAAAGCACUCUCGAGCCCAAGGUUUCAGUCCAUGACCUGUCAGAAGAAUUUAUGUACCCACUGGAACCCUACCAAACACCCCAUAUGAUGAACAUGGUCAUCUUCACCUCGAAGGACAAACAAGAUAGAUGAGCUUUUAGCACAGAUCUAAGCAAGGCCUUGCCAUCUACGAAAAUGAUCCUAACUGCAAAUUUUGGACUCUGCUAUCAACAUAGUGUGAAAAAAGCAACUUUCACUUGGUUUUCAGCUUCUUGUUUCUGCCAUUGUAGGAACUCCUGUGCCUGCUCUGAGAUGUUUUUAAAAUUAUUUAAGAGAUAGUAAAGAGUUGAAUAGAGGACAGAUGUGCUCGUAAGUUAUGGCAGUCUUAUACAAAAGUGAAAGCAUCUCAAACCAUUGUCACCAUUGAAAUAUUGUACUUAUUUUGUGGGACUGAAUGAUCUCAGAGAUUGCAACACAGCCUUUAAGUUAAUUUUAGAAAGCUGUCAAACUUUAUUUGAAAUUUAACCUACAUGUGUUACCAUCAAUUUUUUCCGUAGAAUGAUUUAUCACUCCAUGGAGCAAUGGCAAUAUCAAGGUAUAUGCAAUCUUAAAUGUGGUCUGUUCCACAUAAGUGAAUGGGUUACAAUUCAGGAGAUGCAUUGCAAGAAUUUCAAACUGUUUUUAUAAGUAGAUAAUGCAUGCAAUGAAACUAGUAGCUUAUGAAAAAUACAUCACAUGAGCAUCAAAAGGAUGUUAACUAUGUUGUCACUUGAAUGUUUUACAUUCUGUGAUAUCUUAUCCUGAAAUAAAGUAAUCAUUUUUAUAUUUACCGACA
Long non-coding RNA from Carcharodon carcharias (great white shark), 1013 nucleotides. RefSeq lists it as uncharacterized. NCBI's taxonomy places the organism in Eukaryota, Metazoa, Chordata, Chondrichthyes, Lamniformes, Lamnidae. The transcript has 2 exons. The record is from RefSeq and is a predicted model, not a curated record.